This 621-nucleotide ribosomal RNA is filed under the name uncultured archaeon. RNAcentral describes it as "bacterial SSU rRNA". It matches the Rfam family "Archaeal small subunit ribosomal RNA", at positions 147 to 774 of the family's 1478-position model. The record is from RNAcentral.
UAAUACCUAUAGGUUACAGAUGCUGGAAUGCUCUGUAACUCAAAGCUCCGGCGCCUUAGGAUGGAUCUGCGGCCGAUUAGGUUGUUGUUGGGGUAACGGCCCAACAAGCCAGUAGUCGGUACGGGUUGUGGGAGCAAGAGCCCGGAGUUGGAUUCUGAGACACGAAUCCAGGCCCUACGGGGCGCAGCAGGCGCGAAAACUUUACAAUGCGGGCAACCGUGAUAAGGGAACCUCGAGUGCCUGUAUAUGCAGGCUGUCCAGGUGUCUAAAGCACACCUGAAGAAAGGGCCGGGCAAGACCGGUGCCAGCCGCCGCGGUAAUACCGGCGGCUCGAGUGGUGGCCACUUUUAUUGGGCUUAAAGCGUUCGUAGCUGGGUUAUUAAGUCCCUUGGGAAAUCCGACAGCUUAACUGUCGGGCGUCUAAGAGAUACUGGUAAUCUUGGAACCGGGAGAGGUGAGGGGUACUUCGGGGGUAGGAGUGAAAUCCUGUAAUCCUCGAGGGACCACCUGUGGCGAAGGCGCCUCACCAGAACGGCUUCGACAGUGAGGGACGAAAGCUGGGGGAGCAAACCGGAUUAGAUACCCGGGUAGUCCCAGCCGUAAACGAUGUGCGUUAGGUGU